GCGCUGCCAUUUGCCAGAAGUCCAAGGGAGUCUGGGCAGCACAGGGAACACACAGUUAGUUGGUGCGCCCUUACCCCUUCUAACCACAGUAUGUCCAUUCAUGCAACAAAUGUCAACUCGGUUCCUCGUAGCCAAGCUGACUCCAAGAGGCUGAGAUGACUUCACCUCAGGUGGUUUACAGCAGGGGGAGAAAGGAGGAUCAUCUCAACGGUAGAGCACCGGAUGGAGGGGAGAGAAGACAUCAAGACACACGGACCUGUUGGGAGGCUCUGGCAACCAUGUAGGCAUGAAGCAAUGAGGACCUGAACUGGGGGUAGCAGAGGGGACAGAUAGAAGGGUUGGCUGUUGGAGCCAUUUGAGAACAAUGAAACCAUAGUGGUUUCCUUUAUUGUAGACCGUGUGGUUGAUAUUAUUUGCCCACAAUUGUUCCUGGCCUCCUCACAUUGCCGUGGCUUCCCUGUGGACAGGGCGUCGUUCUUGCUCGCCCACUGACCUGCUUUGGUCCUGGGUGCAUGAGUUGAGUUAACAUAUGCACCAUCCAACCACAAGCUCCAAGUGUGUGCAUGGCUGGGGCAACCCUCUUGGCUCCCACCCUGCAUCCCGAGAAGGCAAGCCCCAGGGGUAUCAAUGGCCUGGGAAUGAGGGAGUGGAGGAGCAAACUGAACCUGACCCAAAUUUCGGGACAAAGCUUCCCCAGCUGACCACAGACCAUUAGCGACAAAUAAAAGUUCGUUAUUUUAAGCCA
Long non-coding RNA from Orcinus orca (killer whale), 745 nucleotides. RefSeq lists it as uncharacterized. The transcript has 2 exons. NCBI's taxonomy places the organism in Eukaryota, Metazoa, Chordata, Mammalia, Artiodactyla, Delphinidae. The record is from RefSeq and is a predicted model, not a curated record.